This 482-nucleotide ribosomal RNA is filed under the name uncultured bacterium. RNAcentral describes it as "partial 16S ribosomal RNA". It matches the Rfam family "Bacterial small subunit ribosomal RNA", at positions 30 to 507 of the family's 1533-position model. The record is from RNAcentral.
AUUGAACGCUGGCGGCAUGCCUUACACAUGCAAGUCGAACGGAAACAGGUCUUCGGAUGCUGACGAGUGGUGGACGGGUGAGUAAUACAUCGGAACGUGCCCGAUCGUGGGGGAUAACGAGGCGAAAGCUUUGCUAAUACCGCAUACGAUCUACGGAUGAAAGCGGGGGAUCUUCGGACCUAGCGCGGACGUUGCGGUCGAUGGCAGAUUAGGUAGUUGGUGGGAUAAAAGCUUACCAAGUCGACGAUCUGUAGCUGGUCUGAGAGGAUGAUCAGCCACACUGGGACUGAGACACGGCCCAGACUCCUACGGGAGGCAGCAGUAGGGAAUUUUGGACAAUGGGCGAAAGCCUGAUCCAGCCAUGCCGCGUGCAGGAUGAAGGCCUUUGGGUUGUAAACUGCUUUUGUACGGAACGAAAAGCCUCUUUCUAAUAAAGAGGGGUCAUGACGGUACCGAAAGAAUAAGCACCGGCUAACUACGUG